GUCCCAGUAGCUCAGUGGAUUAGAGCGCUUCCCUGCGGAGGAAGAGGCCGAGCGUUCGAAUCGCUCCUGGGAUA
RNAcentral lists this transfer RNA (74 nucleotides) under Chloroflexota bacterium. RNAcentral's name for it is "Chloroflexi bacterium (freshwater metagenome) tRNA-Arg". It matches the Rfam family "tRNA". From Rfam's summary of the family: Transfer RNA (tRNA) molecules are approximately 80 nucleotides in length. Their secondary structure includes four short double-helical elements and three loops (D, anti-codon, and T loops). Lineage: Bacteria; Bacillati; Chloroflexota. The record is from RNAcentral.